CAGCCGCCGCGGUAAUACCAGCCCCGCGAGUGGUCGGGACGGUUAUUGGGCCUAAAGCGCCCGUAGCCGGCCCGGCAAGUCCCUCCUUAAAGCCUCGGGCCCAACCCGAGGACGGGGGGGAUACUGCCGGGCUAGGGGGCGGGAGAGGCCGGCGGUACUCCCGGGGUAGGGGCGAAAUCCGUUAAUCCCGGGAGGACCACCAGUGGCGAAGGCGGCCGGCGGGAACGCGCCCGACGGUGAGGGGCGAAAGCCGGGGGAGCGAACCGGAUUAGAUACCCGGGUAGUCCCGGCUGUAAACGAUGCGGGCUAGCUGUGGGGCGGGCUUAGAGCCCACCCAGUGGCGCAGGGAAGCCGUUAAGCCCGCCGCCUGGGGAGUACGGCCGCAAGGUUGAAACUUAAAGGAAUUGGCGGG
This 412-nucleotide ribosomal RNA is filed under the name uncultured microorganism. Its description in RNAcentral is "bacterial SSU rRNA". It matches the Rfam family "Archaeal small subunit ribosomal RNA", at positions 459 to 872 of the family's 1478-position model. The record is from RNAcentral.